This 405-nucleotide ribosomal RNA is filed under the name uncultured bacterium. RNAcentral's name for it is "bacterial SSU rRNA". It matches the Rfam family "Bacterial small subunit ribosomal RNA", at positions 917 to 1322 of the family's 1533-position model. The record is from RNAcentral.
GGGCCCGCACAAGCGGUGGAGCAUGUGGUUUAAUUCGAUGCAACGCGAAGAACCUUACCUACCCUUGACAUACAGUGAACCCUGGAGAGAUCUGGGGGUGCCGCAAGGAGCACUGAUACAGGUGCUGCAUGGCUGUCGUCAGCUCGUGUCGUGAGAUGUUGGGUUAAGUCCCGUAACGAGCGCAACCCUUAUCCUUAGUUGCCAGCGAUUCGGUCGGGAACUCUAAGGAGACUGCCGGUGACAAACCGGAGGAAGGCGGGGACGACGUCAAGUCAUCAUGGCCCUUACGGGUAGGGCUACACACGUGCUACAAUGGCCGAUACAGAGGGCAGCGAAGGAGCGAUCUGGAGCGAAUCCUAAAAAGUCGGUCGUAGUCCGGAUUGGAGUCUGCAACUCGACUCCAUG